GCCUGGGUGGCAUAGUGGUUAAGCGUCUGCCUUCAGCUCAGGGCAUGAUCCCAGCAUUGUGGGAUCAAGCCCCACAUCAGGCU
This is a non-coding RNA of Ailuropoda melanoleuca (giant panda), 83 nucleotides long. Lineage: Eukaryota; Metazoa; Chordata; Mammalia; Carnivora; Ursidae. The record is from Rfam.